ACGCCGAUGGUGAAGUGGUUAUCAUGCUUGCCUUCCAAGCAAGCGGCGGGGGUUCGAUUCCCUCUCGGCGUA
This 72-nucleotide transfer RNA is filed under the name Gloeophyllum trabeum ATCC 11539. RNAcentral's name for it is "tRNA-Gly (TCC) (tRNA-Gly-TCC-2-1)". It matches the Rfam family "tRNA". Rfam says of the family: Transfer RNA (tRNA) molecules are approximately 80 nucleotides in length. Their secondary structure includes four short double-helical elements and three loops (D, anti-codon, and T loops). Further hydrogen bonds mediate the characteristic L-shaped molecular structure. tRNAs have two regions of fundamental functional importance: the anti-codon, which is responsible for specific mRNA codon recognition, and the 3' end, to which the tRNAs corresponding amino acid is attached (by aminoacyl-tRNA synthetases). tRNAs cope with the degeneracy of the genetic code in two manners: having more than one tRNA (with a specific anti-codon) for a particular amino acid; and 'wobble' base-pairing, i.e. permitting non-standard base-pairing at the 3rd anti-codon position. Lineage: Eukaryota; Fungi; Basidiomycota; Agaricomycetes; Gloeophyllales; Gloeophyllaceae. The record is from Rfam by way of RNAcentral.